CCUACGGGAGGCAGCAGUAGGGAAUAUUGCUCAAUGGGGGAAACCCUGAAGCAGCAACGCCGCGUGGAGGAUGAAGGUUUUCGGAUUGUAAACUCCUUUUGUUAGAGAAGAUAAUGACGGUAUCUAACGAAUAAGCACCGGCUAACUCCGUGCCAGCAGCCGCGGUAAUACGGAGGGUGCAAGCGUUACUCGGAAUCACUGGGCGUAAAGAGCGCGUAGGCGGGAUAGCAAGUCAGAUGUGAAAUCCUAUGGCUUAACCAUAGAACUGCAUUUGAAACUGUUAUUCUAGAGUAUGGGAGAGGUAGGUGGAAUGCUUGGUGUAGGGGUGAAAUGCGUAGAGAUCAAGAGGAAGACUCAUUGCGAAGGCGACCUGCUAGAACAUAACUGACGUUGAGGCGCGAAAGCGUGGGGAGCAAACAGGAUUAGAUACCCUAGUAGUC
This 440-nucleotide ribosomal RNA is filed under the name uncultured bacterium. RNAcentral's name for it is "partial 16S ribosomal RNA". It matches the Rfam family "Bacterial small subunit ribosomal RNA", at positions 338 to 795 of the family's 1533-position model. The record is from RNAcentral.